Molecule: ribosomal RNA, 253 nt
Filed under: uncultured bacterium
Lineage: Bacteria
Description: partial 16S ribosomal RNA
Rfam family: Bacterial small subunit ribosomal RNA
Source: RNAcentral
UACGUAGGUGACAAGCGUUGUCCGGAUUUACUGGGCGUAAAGAGCGCGCAGGCGGUCGUUCAAGUCGAGUGUGAAAGCCCCCGGCUCAACUGGGGAGGGUCAUUCGAUACUGAUCGACUCGAAGGCAGGAGAGGGAAGUGGAAUUCCCGGUGUAGUGGUGAAAUGCGUAGAUAUCGGGAGGAACACCAGUGGCGAAGGCGACUUCCUGGCCUGUUCUUGACGCUGAGACGCGAAAGCUAGGGGAGCGAACAGG